RNAcentral lists this ribosomal RNA (301 nucleotides) under uncultured bacterium. RNAcentral describes it as "partial 16S ribosomal RNA". It matches the Rfam family "Bacterial small subunit ribosomal RNA", at positions 510 to 808 of the family's 1533-position model. The record is from RNAcentral.
CGUAGCCGCGGGAAUACAGAGGGUGCGAGCGUUAAUCGGAUUUACUGGGCGUAAAGCGUGCGUAGGCGGCUUCUUAAGUCGGAUGUGAAAUCCCUGAGCUUAACUUAGGAAUUGCAUUCGAUACUGGGAAGCUAGAGUAUGGGAGAGGAUGGUAGAAUUCCAGGUGUAGCGGUGAAAUGCGUAGAGAUCUGGAGGAAUACCGAUGGCGAAGGCAGCCAUCUGGCCUAAUACUGACGCUGAGGUACGAAAGCAUGGGGAGCAAACAGGAUUAGAUACCCCCGUAGUCCCUGUCUCUUAUACA